CCUCCAUGAUCUGCGGGCAGAUCAGGUGGACGUGACAGUCGAUGGCGCCCGCGGUGAGGAUGCGGCCGUUGCCUGCGAUGAUCUCGGUGGACGGUCCCACCACCAGGUCGGGAUGAACGCCGGACAUGAUGUCGGGGUUGCCGGCCUUGCCGAUGGCGGUGAUGCGGCCGUCACGAAUGCCGAUGUCGGCCUUGAUGAUUCCCCAGUAGUCGACGAUCACCGCUCCGGUGAUGACGGUGUCGGGGGCGCCGUCGGCCCUGGUUGCCCUCGAUUGGCCCAUGGACUCCCGAAG
RNAcentral lists this small RNA (292 nucleotides) under Mycobacterium sp. Root135. RNAcentral's name for it is "5' ureB small RNA". It matches the Rfam family "5' ureB small RNA". The record is from Rfam by way of RNAcentral. Lineage: Bacteria; Bacillati; Actinomycetota; Actinomycetes; Mycobacteriales; Mycobacteriaceae.